GGCACCACCAAGCAAGUGACACCAUGAAGACCAAGGAGCGUGCCAAACAGGUGUCCAUUUCAGAAAAGUUAAUGAAACCCAAAGAGUGGAUUGCCCUCUGUCCUGGACUAGAACAUUAGACUGAUAUAAGGACGUCCCUCAGCCCUGACAGGACAAUGUCAACCCUGGUUGUUCCUUGUGACUCCUGGAGGACGAACAUCAACCUAUCAGGAUUCUCCUCAAGUAAGGACCAUU
Molecule: non-coding RNA, 234 nt
Organism: Oncorhynchus mykiss (rainbow trout)
Lineage: Eukaryota; Metazoa; Chordata; Actinopteri; Salmoniformes; Salmonidae
Source: RefSeq, a predicted model, not a curated record